Molecule: ribosomal RNA, 499 nt
Filed under: uncultured bacterium
Lineage: Bacteria
Description: partial 16S ribosomal RNA
Rfam family: Bacterial small subunit ribosomal RNA
Source: RNAcentral
GACGAACGCUGGCGGCGUGCCUAAUACAUGCAAGUCGAGCGAAUCUGAUGGGAGCUUGCUCCUUGAUGAUUAGCGGCGGACGGGUGAGUAACACGUGGGUAACCUGCCUGUAAGACUGGGAUAACUCCGGGAAACCGGGGCUAAUACCGGAUAACUUUUUUCUUCGCAUGAGGGAGAAUUGAAAGAUGGCUUCGGCUAUCACUUACAGAUGGACCCGCGGCGCAUUAGCUAGUUGGUGAGGUAACGGCUCACCAAGGCGACGAUGCGUAGCCGACUUGAGAGGGUGAUCGGCCACACUGGGACUGAGACACGGCCCAGACUCCUACGGGAGGCAGCAGUAGGGAAUCUUCCGCAAUGGACGAAAGCCUGACGGAGCAACGCCGCGUGAGUGAUGAAGGUUUUCGGAUCGUAAAACUCUGUUGUUAGGGAAGAACAAGUAUCGUUCGAAUAGGGCGGUACCUUGACGGUACCUAACCAGAAAGCCACGGCUAACUACGUG